Molecule: ribosomal RNA, 468 nt
Filed under: uncultured bacterium
Lineage: Bacteria
Description: partial 16S ribosomal RNA
Rfam family: Bacterial small subunit ribosomal RNA
Source: RNAcentral
GACGAACGCUGGCGGCGUGCUUAACACAUGCAAGUCGAACGGAAAGGCCCUGCUUUUGUGGGGUGCUCGAGUGGCGAACGGGUGAGUAACACGUGAGUAACCUGCCCUUGACUUUGGGAUAACUUCAGGAAACUGGGGCUCAUACCGGAUAGGAGCUCUUGCUGCAUGGUGGGGGUUAGAAAGUUUCGGCGGUUGGGGAUGGACUCGCGGCUUAUCAGCUUGUUGGUGGGGUAGUGGCUUACCAAGGCUUUGACGGGUAGCCGGCCUGGGAGGGUGACCGGCCACAUUGGGACGGAGAUACGGCCCAGACUCGUACGGGACGCAGGAGUGGGGAGUAUUGCACAAGGGGCGGAAGCCUGAUGUAGCAACGCCGCGUGCGGGAUGACGUCCUUCGGGUUGUGAACCGAUUUCGCCUGUGACGAAGCGUGAGUGACGGUAAUGGGUAAAGAAGCACCGGCUAACUACGUG